Molecule: small nucleolar RNA, 121 nt
Filed under: Echinops telfairi (small Madagascar hedgehog)
Lineage: Eukaryota; Metazoa; Chordata; Mammalia; Afrosoricida; Tenrecidae
Description: Small nucleolar RNA SNORA61 (ENSETEG00000024214.1)
Source: RNAcentral
ACUCUCCAGAUGCCCUACCCAUCAGAUCUAAACAUUGGCCUGAGUGGCUAUAAAAAGAGGAAAAGUCAAACUGAAAUGGAGUUGGAUUCUUUGGUGACAUGCAAAUUAAUUUAAAACCAAC